Long non-coding RNA from Xiphophorus hellerii (green swordtail), 599 nucleotides. RefSeq lists it as uncharacterized. The transcript is spliced from 2 exons. The record is from RefSeq and is a predicted model, not a curated record. Lineage: Eukaryota; Metazoa; Chordata; Actinopteri; Cyprinodontiformes; Poeciliidae.
GGCGACAGGUUCCGGCUGGAGUGCGGUGCAUUAUUAUCCGCAGCUGUUCGUGAUCAUCUUCAUCAGCGGCGCAGACUUAAGGAGUUGGCCGCCAGUCCAGCGUCGCCUGAGUGUUAGCCAGUCACGGUACCUCUGAGCCCCCUGAGCCUGUCUCUGUGUUUCUAGUUGUCUUGAACAUUCUAGUAAUUAUCUUUGUUUACUCCGUUGCCUUUUAGGUGAUCCUUUGAUGAGAUCCCGGUUGAAUUCCUGGUUUAUGAACCACCCUCGUGACGCCGUGGAAAGUAUCCACAGGUUGCCCGAGUUCCCAGACUCACCUCUCCGUUGUUUGGCAAUUAUCUCCUGGACCCACCGGCUGGCGGCCGUACCACUCCUCCGUCUCCCCGCUGCACCCGUGCCUACCUGUCCGCUGCCCACCGCACUCCUCCGCUGUUCCUGGACCCACCAAGAACCGAGACCCCGGACAUACUUGGUUUCCCCUCCAAGACUCUGUUCAUCAGCAACAAUGAACCAUUGUUGCCGUCCCUGUUUUUGCCCCUGGACCAGACCAUCCUGAUUCUCGCUGAUAAUUGUGUGAUCAUUAUUAAAUCAUUUAACACUGA